GACGUAGGGCGCGAGCGUUGUCCGGAUUUAUUGGGCGUAAAGAGCUCGUAGGCGGCUUGUCGCGUCGACUGUGAAAUCCCGCGGCUCAACUGCGGGUCUGCAGUCGAUACGGGCAGGCUAGAGUUCGGUAGGGGAGACUGUAAUUCCUGGUGUAGCGGUGAAAUGCGCAGAUAUCAGGAGGAACACCGAUGGCGAAGGCAGGUCUCUGGGCCGAUACUGACGCUGAGGAGCGAAAGCGUGGGGAGCGAACAGG
Molecule: ribosomal RNA, 253 nt
Filed under: uncultured bacterium
Lineage: Bacteria
Description: partial 16S ribosomal RNA
Rfam family: Bacterial small subunit ribosomal RNA
Source: RNAcentral